This 211-nucleotide ribosomal RNA is filed under the name Oxyrrhis marina. RNAcentral's name for it is "partial Eukaryotic large subunit ribosomal RNA". It matches the Rfam family "Eukaryotic large subunit ribosomal RNA", at positions 952 to 1171 of the family's 3401-position model. The record is from RNAcentral. Lineage: Eukaryota; Dinophyceae; Oxyrrhinales; Oxyrrhinaceae.
UGGUUCCCUCCGAAGUUUCCCUCAGGAUAGCUGGGACAGAGAAUUACACCCGGUAAAGCCAAUGAGUAGAGGUCAGGGAGACACGCGUCUUCUUCCUAUUAUCAAACUUUAAAUGGGUGUGUCGCCACUUGCUUGUUUGAAGUGGCGAACUCAAUCGAGUCCUUAGUGGGCCAGUUCGGGUAAGCUGAAUUGGCGAUGAGGGUUCAACCUG